Molecule: ribosomal RNA, 342 nt
Filed under: uncultured bacterium
Lineage: Bacteria
Description: bacterial SSU rRNA
Rfam family: Bacterial small subunit ribosomal RNA
Source: RNAcentral
GAUGAACGCUGGCGGCAUGCCUAAGACAUGCAAGUCGAACGGAGUAGCCUUUAGAAAGGGAAGUGCUUGCACAGAACUGGAAGAAGAAUUUCUACUUAGUGGCAGACGGGUGAGUAACACGUGGGUAAUCUACCCUAGGGACUGGGAUAACGUUUGGAAACGAACGCUAAUACCGGAUGAUACAUAAUUAGAUAACUAGAUAUGUUAAAAGGAGCGUUUGCUCCACCUUAGGAUGAGCUUGCGGUGUAUUAGCUAGUUGGUGGGGCAAUGGCCUACCAAGGCAACGAUGCAUAGCCGAGCUGAGAGGCUGAACGGCCACAUUGGAACUGAGAUACGGUCCAA